AGCUUUGCGCAGUGGCAGUAUCGUAGCCAAUGAGGUUUAUCCGAGGCGCGAUUAUUGCUAAUUGAAACAACAGAAAAUCUAGAGCAUUGUAGAGUUUUUGAACUAUAAGACAGGAGAAAAGAAUAUAUGUAAAGUUAU
Molecule: small nuclear RNA, 138 nt
Organism: Rattus norvegicus (Norway rat)
Lineage: Eukaryota; Metazoa; Chordata; Mammalia; Rodentia; Muridae
Product: U4 spliceosomal RNA
Source: Ensembl